CCUACGGGCGGCAGCAGUGAGGAAUAUUGGUCAAUGGACGAGAGUCUGAACCAGCCAUGUAGCGUGAAGGAUGACUGCCCUAUGGGUUGUAAACUUCUUUUAUAUGGGAAUAAAAUGUUCCACGUGUGGGAUUUUGUAUGUACCAUAUGAAUAAGGAUAGGCUAACUCAGUGCCAGCAGCCGCGGUAAUACGGAGGAUGGGAGCGUUAUCCGGAUUUAGUGGGGUUAACGGGAGCGUAGGUGGAUUGUUAAGUCAGUUGUGAAAGUUUGCGGCUCAACCGUAAAAUUGCAGUUGAAACUGGCAGUCUUGAGUACAGUAGAGGUGGGUGGAAUUCGUGGUGUAGCGGUGAAAUGCUUAGAUAUCAGGAAGAACUCCGAUGGCGAAGGCAGUUCACUGGACUGCAACUGACACUGAGGCGCGAAAGUGUGGGGAUCAAACAGGAUUAGAUACCCCUGUAGUC
Molecule: ribosomal RNA, 460 nt
Filed under: uncultured bacterium
Lineage: Bacteria
Description: partial 16S ribosomal RNA
Rfam family: Bacterial small subunit ribosomal RNA
Source: RNAcentral